UGAUCCAGCUCCACCUCAGGGGUCCGGUACAGCGUAGAGAGGCGUUGAAAAUUUUCAGAAAUCGAUACCUGAGGACGAGGAGACGGGACGAUUGCUUCACGUGAUAACGCCCACAAACCUUUAACAUUUGAUGGCAUCCACAAUUAACAACUUACAUACGUUUAUGCACAUGUGUACAUACAUACUGCAUCAAAAAAGCUUAAACCAGUCAGACAAGUUCUCAUUUUGAUGGGAAGUUGAUACAAGAAGACAUGGAUCAACAACAAAGUGUGGCGAAUGAUAUAAAUAAAAUUCUAAGGGGGAUUGCGUCCAUGUCGAACACGCUCGAAGAUCUGAGCAGUCGUCUACAACAUAUGGAGGAGGAGUUGCAAAAAAUUCAAAAAAAUCAACCGGAGUUUCCUCUUAUCUCAGAUGAGGAGCCCCAAGAGGAAACCUUCGUCCCACCCCCUUUCCCUGAGAAUAUUGAAGAUCUUGAUGUCUUUUGUGAGUGGGUGGCGAAUGUGGAAAUUUUUUUUAAGGAGAAUAUGAUCUCAGAGUAUAAACAAGUAACACUUACACCCCGUUCCCGAGUUCAACUUAAGGAGAGAAAGGAAAGGAAAUGGGUGGAAAUGAGAAGAAAAUAAAAGAAAUUGGUGUUCAUGAGUUUCAUUAAAGGAGGGAAUUGGAAGGAAAUGGGAGGAUCACUUUCCCUCCUAACUUUCCUUCCGAUUUGGGAGGAUUUGGAAAGAAAAAACAAAAUGAUUCAUUUUCCUUUCACUUCUCUCCAACUCGGGAACACAAAAGAAAAUUUUGUUUUCUUUUCCUUUCUCUUCUUUUCUCUCGUGACUUUCUUUUCUCUUCUCUUCUUUUCUUUUGUUAAACUCGGGAACGAGGCGUUAUAGUCGGAAAUUUUUUUAAGGAGAAUAUGAUCGCAGAUUCCUUUUGUGUUAUCUGUCCUUUAUUUUUACCACUUUAACAAUAUAUUACACAUUGAGAUCUCA
Lactuca sativa (garden lettuce) is the source of this 980-nucleotide long non-coding RNA. RefSeq lists it as uncharacterized. The record is from RefSeq and is a predicted model, not a curated record. NCBI's taxonomy places the organism in Eukaryota, Viridiplantae, Streptophyta, Magnoliopsida, Asterales, Asteraceae.